GUGUGUUCGACGCCCAGAGCCAGAGAAGAAAGGGGAAACCUUUCUAACCACAAAAUCCAGCCAAUUGAAGCCCCAAUCGUGACUAAAUCUCAUGCAUGUCAAUGAUUUCUUGAUCAUCUAGGCCUAUUAAAGCUUAAGGAUGAAUAACAUAUCUACGAACUCAAGCACGGAGGCUAACGGGUCGAAAGUAAACAUGGAACCUAUGCUUGAACUGGGUCGCUCAAGGUGGUACGUGUCACGGAGGAUCAGCAAGGAAUAUAGAUCAAGGAUCGAGUCACUCGAGGGAUUGUACGGGGCUGUCUGAGGAUGUAAUUUAUUGUACAUAAGCUAUCAAUCAUUUUAUAAUUGAGUCAAUUCAUUGUAUUUAGUAUAAAAGAGUUAUUUUAAAAAGCGAACCUUCAAGUAGUAAGCAUGGUUUAUAAUGUAAGAAAUUUUAUGGCAAGGACUUC
Molecule: long non-coding RNA, 449 nt
Organism: Helianthus annuus (common sunflower)
Lineage: Eukaryota; Viridiplantae; Streptophyta; Magnoliopsida; Asterales; Asteraceae
Exons: 3
Source: RefSeq, a predicted model, not a curated record